Molecule: unclassified non-coding RNA, 264 nt
Filed under: Hevea brasiliensis (rubber tree)
Lineage: Eukaryota; Viridiplantae; Streptophyta; Magnoliopsida; Malpighiales; Euphorbiaceae
Source: RNAcentral
UUUAUGUUUGCAGAUCCCAAUAUUACAUACUCAUCAUCCACUAUCAUCCCUUUUGAAUGGACAUAAAUCAUGAAUCGCCGGCUUUUUUGACUGAGUGCCUGAGGAGUGUUUGCAGCAGUGGGACUGCUCGAAGUGUCAUUCGUGUCUGUGAACUCACGAUUACCAAGACAGAAGAAGUUCAAAUAAUCCUGAGGUGAGAACACAUUCUCAAGUCCAACCUCCUCUAAAGCCUUCAAAAUUGUCUCAUACAUCAUUUGCAUAGUU